Ornithorhynchus anatinus (platypus) is the source of this 1034-nucleotide long non-coding RNA. RefSeq lists it as uncharacterized. The record is from RefSeq and is a predicted model, not a curated record. NCBI's taxonomy places the organism in Eukaryota, Metazoa, Chordata, Mammalia, Monotremata, Ornithorhynchidae. The transcript is spliced from 3 exons.
GGUUAAGCAGAAACACAAAUUCAGGCUCGUCCAGCAAAACCCUCCAAAGGACCCACCACACCGGGACUCCCAUCAGACCCUGUCGCAGCCCGGGGAAGGCCUCGACCGGCUGUAGCCGUGCGAACCAUCUACGCUCCCCUUACUCCCAGUCUCCGGGGCCCAGAUGCAUGAGAAUGACGCCGCCUCCGCCUCCUCCGGGCCACUGGGACUGCCAUCAGCCCCUGCUCCAGUCUGGAAAGGAGUCGACCAACGAUAGCGUGAGGGCUUCUCAACUUUUAAAACGUCGACCCCAUCACCACAGGAACCACAGCUGUGACUUCCGAUCCUGAAAAGACUGCUGCUCCUUUCAUGCUUGUCGCCGUCCUUGUCUUCUAGAUUUUUGGUCUCUUUUCUUAUGUAUGGGUUGCCGACUUCUCCCUGCUCUCCCGUUCUUAGACCGUGAGGCUCUUGGCGGGGGUCAGGGAUCGUGUCUGUGAAUUUCUUUUCCAGUAACUAGUACAGCGCUUUGAACACGAUCACCUCAAAGAUCGAGAAUACCGACUUCAAUACAAAAUGCAUUUUUCAAAAUCGCAACUGCUGGAAUCCAUUGUAAGAAUCCCCCCGUCUGCAGGGAACACUCAGUUGAAGCUCUCACUAUCUGGACAUCAUUUUUGUUCAUCUCUCCCUUUAGACUGUAAAUUCACUGAGAGCAAGGAUGGUACUCAGUGCUCAAUUUCUAACUCAAACCCUGUGUGACCUCACCCUGCAUGUCUGCAUCAACACAUGAAGGAGGAGAACAGCAUCAUAGAGCUAAAGGAGGAGGUCGAAAGUCAGAGAGGAGAAAGAACAGGAGGGUCUGAUCAACCGAGAGCAGCAGCUAGAAAAUCCGACCCUGGGCACGAUCUCGUUAGGCAAACCCCGAAACACGUGGAAAAUGCUAAAGGUGUCCUCGGCUUCAUUUUCAUGGGAGUACGGAAGGAGCCAGAGACGGGCAAUUAAUGUCCCUUUAAUUUGGGCUUAAAAGAGGAGUAUAAUAAAUGACUACCAAGGCAUGA